Long non-coding RNA from Schistocerca piceifrons (Central American locust), 710 nucleotides. RefSeq lists it as uncharacterized. The record is from RefSeq and is a predicted model, not a curated record. NCBI's taxonomy places the organism in Eukaryota, Metazoa, Arthropoda, Insecta, Orthoptera, Acrididae. The transcript is spliced from 3 exons.
GCGGUAUUCCGCCGCCGUCGGCCGUGCUGUGCGGACGUGCGGAGCGGCUGUAGCGGUGUUUACAUCGUCGCUGCGAGUGGCCGGCGUUGUGUGGUGAUAUUGAUGGCCUGCUGUAUGGUGAUGCUACGAUGGAGAUGAUAUUGGAGAUUAUUGCAGAAGAUCAUGUGGAUAUGAUUGAGCUAAGUCAGCCGCAGGCAUAUAACUUUCCACUGAAGAUGAGCCAGUGAAGGUUCUCUGACUAUUUCUCAGAAGCAAAGCAACCAGUCGUCGAAAUAUGCGAGCAGAUUGAUGUUCAUCAGUGGGAUCAUCAUCAUCAUCAUCCUCCUCAUCAUCAUCAUCUUCUUCAUCCAACAUGGAGUCAUUCUGGUAAAAUGAUAAAUUAUUCUCAGUGUAAGUAAUAAAUAUUUCUGUCAAACAUUUUUUGUUUAUGAAAUUAAUACCUGUAUAGAAUUAUAUAGUUCAAUAAAAUACGCUAGAAAUAAGUUAUGUUAGCAAUGUAUGACAAAAUCACUGAUUACUGAAGUUGGUUAUGAUGGACAAGAGUAGCCUUUAUGUGCCAGUACACUUAAUUUACUUGUUUGAGUGUGAGGUAGUCGGUAAACAUUGGAGAAUUUUUCGUGAAGAUUUUAGGAGAUAGCCUUUGUAAAAGAACUGUCUGAGAAGCCAAAUGUUUAGCUGAUGGAGACUAUAAAUAUUUAUUCUAAUAUGCU